This is a non-coding RNA of Comamonas testosteroni CNB-2, 93 nucleotides long. Lineage: Bacteria; Pseudomonadati; Pseudomonadota; Betaproteobacteria; Burkholderiales; Comamonadaceae. The record is from Rfam.
GCCCAUCCCGCGGGAGAGCGGAGCCUUUCAAGGGUUCCCGCCGAAGGCGCAAACUCCCAUAAUCGCUCAGGCAAUAAGUACCGCAGGUGGGUC